UUGUGGAUGAAAUGUAAUAUAAGGGUGAACACAACAUACAUGUUUUGGAGAACGGUUAGAUCAAUAUAUCCGGUUCGUUAGCUUGGAAAGUGGGAUCACUUCCGCGGUUAGGGGUAAUGCUCGUUUCGUUAUGGAUGUUGAUCAAGCAAGGAAAUCAAGAACCGAACAUAAGUUUUGAAUGCUUCCGCGAUAAUCUAAUCUAGUUCAAACCAUGUUGUUUUGUAAACACUUCUAAACGUUGAAUAUUUUAAUCUAGUUAGUUGACUAUGUUCAAAUGCUAUAAUGAAGUACAUCUUAGUUUAUUAA
Molecule: long non-coding RNA, 306 nt
Organism: Helianthus annuus (common sunflower)
Lineage: Eukaryota; Viridiplantae; Streptophyta; Magnoliopsida; Asterales; Asteraceae
Exons: 2
Source: RefSeq, a predicted model, not a curated record